UACGUAGGGUGCAAGCGUUAAUCGGAAUUACUGGGCGUAAAGCGUGCGCAGGCGGUUUUGUAAGACUGUCGUGAAAUCCCCGGGCUUAACCUGGGAAUGGCGAUGGUGACUGCAAGGCUAGAGUUUGGCAGAGGGGGGUGGAAUUCCGCGUGUAGCAGUGAAAUGCGUAGAGAUGCGGAGGAACACCGAUGGCGAAGGCAGCCCCCUGGGCUAACACUGACGCUCAGGCACGAAAGCGUGGGGAGCAAACAGG
This 253-nucleotide ribosomal RNA is filed under the name uncultured bacterium. RNAcentral's name for it is "partial 16S ribosomal RNA". It matches the Rfam family "Bacterial small subunit ribosomal RNA", at positions 524 to 776 of the family's 1533-position model. The record is from RNAcentral.